AACGAACGCUGGCGGCAUGCCUAGCACAUGCAAGUCGAACGAUUGCCUUCGGGUGAUAGUGGCGCACGGGUGCGUAACGCGUGGGAAUCUGCCCUUAGGUUCGGAAUAACAGCUGGAAACGGCUGCUAAUACCGGAUGAUAUCGCGAGAUCAAAGAUUUAUCGCCUGAGGAUGAGCCCGCGUUGGAUUAGGUAGUUGGUGGGGUAAAGGCCUACCAAGCCGACGAUCCAUAGCUGGUCUGAGAGGAUGAUCAGCCACACUGGGACUGAGACACGGCCCAGACUCCUACGGGAGGCAGCAGUGGGGAAUAUUGGACAAUGGGCGCAAGCCUGAUCCAGCAAUGCCGCGUGAGUGAUGAAGGCCCUAGGGUUGUAAAGCUCUUUUACCCGGGAAGAUAAUGACUGUACCGGGAGAAUAAGCCCCGGCUAACUCCGUG
RNAcentral lists this ribosomal RNA (435 nucleotides) under uncultured bacterium. RNAcentral describes it as "partial 16S ribosomal RNA". It matches the Rfam family "Bacterial small subunit ribosomal RNA", at positions 29 to 507 of the family's 1533-position model. The record is from RNAcentral.